Molecule: ribosomal RNA, 253 nt
Filed under: uncultured bacterium
Lineage: Bacteria
Description: partial 16S ribosomal RNA
Rfam family: Bacterial small subunit ribosomal RNA
Source: RNAcentral
UACAGAGGUCCCAAGCGUUGUUCGGAUUCACUGGGCGUAAAGGGUGCGUAGGUGGUCGGGUAAGUCUGAGGUGAAAUCUCCGAGCCUAACUCGGAAACUGCCUCGGAAACUAUCCGACUCGAGGGUUGGAGGGGAGACUGGAAUGCUUGGUGUAGCAGUGAAAUGCGUAGAUAUCAAGCGGAACACCAGUGGCGAAGGCGAGUCUCUGGACAACUCCUGACACUGAGGCACGAAAGCCAAGGGAGCAAACAGG